UGUUUACACCUUUAAGAAGGGAGAGCCUAUCAUCCUCCCCCACAGACACAUAUAUAAGACAAUGAUCUCACUCCCUAAUAGAAAACGCACAGAGAAACGCAAGAAAACUUGGAUUCAAUUAUCUAAGACGCAUGUUGAAAAAGAAACAUAAAAGAACUAUAUGAUAUGAUAUAGACUUCCAACAGAUUUAUAGUCCUCAAAAAACCGAGCUGAAGAAGGCGUUUACUCCGAAACAGGGCCCUGUCCUGGUCACCACUACUGAGUCGUACAUCUGAUUCAUACUCCGGAUACUCCU
Non-coding RNA from Podarcis muralis (Common wall lizard), 295 nucleotides. The record is from RefSeq and is a predicted model, not a curated record. Lineage: Eukaryota; Metazoa; Chordata; Lepidosauria; Squamata; Lacertidae.